CGCAUCGAUCAAUCCGAGAAACGAUGGCCAUUCGAAUUGUGUCGUGGAACAUUAGCCGGCUUAUCAUUUUAUUUGGGAAACGCGAUAUCACGGCAAUCACGAUCGGGAAGCCUUCUUAUCGCCACAAGUACGAUUAAUAAUUGAUCCCUGCUUGAAAUUCAAUGUAUGCAACCAACUAGAUAACAAAAUAAAACAAACGUGUCACUCAAGAUGUUCCAACAUCUGCGAAGAAGAGAAGAGAUAAAAGCAUCAAAAGAUAAAUCGCGUGUAAAAAACAGAUAUAUGUUGUCGCAAAAUCCUAUGAUGGUACACUUUGUUUCUGUACAAUUUGGGAAGUAACCGAUGUCUAACAAAAAAACUUAAUUUCAUGCAAAACUACACGUCGAAAUAAAGUGUCUAAGCUGUAUUGAAACGCACUCGUGUGAGAUCGCAGCCGAAGAGUACGCUCAUUUGUUGCAACAAUGACAUAAUUAAAAAAUCGCCCUUACUAAGUUAUUAGUACGAGAAAAAGGGUUGGUACAUGUACUAUUUAUAGCUAAAACGACGAUUACUUUACUAAAUUAUGUUAAUAUGGUAUUUUAAAAUUUUCAUACAAAGUUAUAGCAAUUCAAAAUAUUAAUCGUGUCUCCUGAAAAAUCAUAUUUUUUUAGUUAUGCCAUUGUUCCAGCAAAUGAGCGAUAUGUACAUGUUCAUACGUGUGCGUUUUCAAAUUUCGGAAAACAGAACGGAUAAAUAAGGUAUUCUUCGACCAUAUAUGUCCGGAAUGAGAAGCAAAGAGAAAAUAAAAGAGAAAAACAAUCGUGAAUCAUUAUUGUUCUCGAA
This is a long non-coding RNA of Odontomachus brunneus, 822 nucleotides long. RefSeq lists it as uncharacterized. The record is from RefSeq and is a predicted model, not a curated record. Lineage: Eukaryota; Metazoa; Arthropoda; Insecta; Hymenoptera; Formicidae. The transcript is spliced from 3 exons.